AAUAAUAAUGAUUAAUUAUAUAACAAAAAUAUUUAUAUUAAUAGUUGUUAUUAUUUAUAAUAAAAGUGAGUGAAAACUACAAUACCAUCUGAGACGCAGUUGUCAGAAACUACAAAUCCCAUGAGUCCAUCUGUUAUCAACGGAAACACGUCAUGGAUACGUAAACCUGUGUUUUUUUUUUUCUCAGAUUAAUGAAUCUAACGCCUUUGGGUGAUGCUUGAUGGACUUCACGACAUUUAUAAUCAGAAAAUAUGCGGAGAUGGCAGGCAAUGCGAGAGUCCUGCAGAAGAAAACGCCGCAGACGGUCAUCAGGAGAAGCAUCUGACAGCUGCUCAGUGAAAUCAUGGCUUUCUGCAGAUGUUUAAACCAGAUGUUAACUGAUGGACUGGAGUGCUGUGGAUUAUUGUGA
Carassius auratus (goldfish) is the source of this 409-nucleotide long non-coding RNA. RefSeq lists it as uncharacterized. Lineage: Eukaryota; Metazoa; Chordata; Actinopteri; Cypriniformes; Cyprinidae. The transcript has 3 exons. The record is from RefSeq and is a predicted model, not a curated record.